UUAUUAGUCACAGAUUUUUGCUAGCAUGAGCGGCGCCAUGAGAGCAGCUGCGCCGGUGGCUCUCGUGCACAGCGCGUGCAUCGGUGACCUUCUAAAGUCCUCCUUCGCGAACUGCAUCGCAUCGCCGGCCGGAGCGCCGGCCAUCUGGCCGUUCCCCUUUGCGGUGUGGUACUCCGUCUCCGCCGCAGCUGCAAUCUCCUCCGGCGCCAGCGUUGUUGAGCAGCGUUUCUCAUCCAGCAGCAGCGCUGGCGGCUCCUAUCCAUCUACCAAAGAAAGGAGCAUUACCUUAUCCAGCGCCAGCGUUUGUACGAGCAGUGUACUUCAGAGACGAUGGUGGAGGAGCCAUCAAGGAGAUUGCUGGGCAGAUGCAGCUACGAAAUUACUUGUUCCAGUAUUUUGUUUAGCAAUUACAUUGUCCAAUUUUCUAUUAUUUGUGAGACCGGAUAUGAAUUGCUAGGCUAUCUAAGAAAUAAAUGUUAUAGUAAUUGAGAAAAUGAUCUUUGUUCCUUAAUGGUUCUGUAACUUUAGAACCACGUCCCUGAUGCAUAUACAUAUAUAACUGAUAUUGAUUUUGUGAAAUCAGUUGUGAGCCCUUACCCCAAUAUUUUUGUUUGCCUGUAAAUGCAGAGAGAAGUACCUUGCUGACAAAUAAAAUAUUUCAGAGACAACUAUUUAAAACAAUUUUAAAAAUUCAAUUUAAAAAAGAUAAGGUUGCUAUGUCUUCAACACAUUAUAUUUAGUCAUAUAAGAAUGGUUGUACCUGUUGUAAUUCUAGCUAUUGAAAAACAAAUAUCUAUAAUACAUCCUUGAAAACAAUGUUUUCUGCAACCUUGUCGGAUCGACGCUCUUCAUCUGAUAUGAGUAUCCGCAAUCCAUUUCUGCUGGUAACCCUUGACAUUGCAACAUAGAGCUGUGUGAACACUUGCCUUUGUAAGUAGAGUCAAAACUUUUUGAGAGAUUGCCCCUGACUUUUGUUUAUAGUCAUAGCAAAGCACACUGAUAUUGGGUAUUGUCUCCUUUUCACAAUGAAAGGCCAUUCUGAAUCACUUGGUGACAUAAUAAUUCGUGGGAUGUAAACUUUGUCGCCAAUGUUAGUACCUGUUAUGACCUGGCCUUCGAUGAAACGCUUCUCUAGCUGUGUUAUUGUUAGUCUUGUCCCAUUGCAAAGUCCUGCACUUUGAUUGAAGUUAUUCAUAGUCGUAAGCAUUACUGGUAAUCCUACUUUCAGCCUCAGUUCAUGAUCUGGUAUUCCAGAAAAUGUUAGACUAUUUAGAAACUCAGAUGAAUUCAGACGCAUAUUUAGGAUCUCUUUACAGAUGCAGAAAUGAUAUGUUCCCUUUCCCCCUUUGGAAUAACUGGUAGGAUUCGCCUGAAGUCACCUCCCAAGACUACCGUCAUUCCUCCAAACAGUCUAUGCUCGGCAUCCUCAUUUGUGAAUCGAAGUAUGUCUCUCAAACUCUUGUCUAGUGCCUCAAAACAGUGCUUGGGUGUCAUAGGUUCUUCAUCCCAUAUUAUCAGUGAAGUUUUCUUUAUUAGUUCCGCGAGAAAUGUUCCUUGCUUGAUGUUGCAUGUCGACUCGUUAGUGAUCUUGAGCGGAAUGUGAAAUCUUGAAUGAGCUGUUCUUCCACCCUGUAAAAGAAGCGUUGUUGUACCACUUGAAGCCACUGCUAGAAGCCUAGAACUAUUUUUCCUUCAGAUCUUAAUUUUCUUGUGACUGCUUUCCGCAAAAAUGUCUUUCCAGUUCCAUCAUAUCCGUCAACGAAAAUCAAUUUUCCAAGACUGCUAUUACCUGAUUCUAUUAUAACAGCAAAAGCCAUCCUCUGAUCUUGAUUUAGCUUUUGCAGUAACUCUGUGUGCUCUAUUCUUAAUGAAUCUUUAUCUUAGUUUAGUUCCUCGUUUACUAAUCUAUUACUUAUAUCUUGAAGAAUUGAACUAUCUGGUAGUGGCAUUCCUGGAAAAUCUUUGAGGGACUUACCACCUUUGGUCAACAGGUGUUCCAUCUCUGCCAAGAGGAGCCUCUUUAUUUGUGCUGAGAUCCGUUACCUUGCAAAAUCAAAGUAUCGUGUAGAAAAGUUGGCGCAUUUGAGGAGCAGAGGCCCAAUGGGAUGCUUCCUUGAUGCAGUCAUCCCACUCCUUGUCGUCAUUAAGAAGCCCAAGAGCAUAACAUGCAGAUUUGUAUGUUGGAUGUACAACCCCAUCAACAGUUCGGGUUUCUUCCUAGAAUCUGCAUCCUUUCAUGGUGAAAUUGUAACCUUUCAACCACUGGCUCUCUAUACUGAAGAGGAAACUGAAAUAUGUGCCAUGAGGCUUCACAUUCGGAUAUGUACCAAGCAUCAAGAUAUCAUCCCAAGCACACUAUAUGGAGUACGGACAGGACACACGAUGUGAUCGGCUCUCCGGCGCGGGCGCCGCUCUGGCGCAGCACGUGUACUCAAACCCAAUUUGGGGUGUGAAUCUUGCAUGCUGCCAAUCCAUUGUAGUUCCUGGAAUCUGCCCUGACCCAGUGGGCGCUGAUGAAUCUUGAUGUCAAGGACAGCUAAAAGAUGGCACCCGUAGAUGGAAAGAAAGAUGAACACCGGCGCAAGGGCUUCAGCUCAACAAAACGCCAAUAGGGAAGAAGAGUUUGCUAAUAUAACAGGAGAAUAAAGGCUACAGGUUACUUUCGUGCGGAUUGGGGCCAGCAGCAACUGCUGACGAACAUGCACUCUGAAACCUUGCCAACGACAGCAAUCGCCGAGGCUGCUUCAAACUGCUAUCCGCCUAUCCGUGCACCACCUCUGCUGCAUCAGAAACCACGAGAUUGAUUUAUUUAUUGGGCUGAAAACGGUUUCAAUAUUGUAAUAUACUGUAGUUAUAACCUGAAAUCCGUGAAAAUUAAAAGUUUGGGGACA
Triticum aestivum (bread wheat) is the source of this 2891-nucleotide RNA transcript. RefSeq lists it as uncharacterized. The record is from RefSeq and is a predicted model, not a curated record. The transcript has 6 exons. Lineage: Eukaryota; Viridiplantae; Streptophyta; Magnoliopsida; Poales; Poaceae.